This 498-nucleotide ribosomal RNA is filed under the name uncultured archaeon. Its description in RNAcentral is "bacterial SSU rRNA". It matches the Rfam family "Bacterial small subunit ribosomal RNA", at positions 899 to 1397 of the family's 1533-position model. The record is from RNAcentral.
ACUCAAAGGAAUAGACGGGGGCCCGCACAAGCGGAGGAACAUGUGGUUUAAUUCGAUGAUACGCGAGGAACCUUACCCGGGCUUGAAUUGCAUCUGAAUAUGCCGGAAACGGUAUAGCUAGCAAUAGCAGAUGUGAAGGUGCUGCAUGGUUGUCGUCAGCUCGUGCCGUGAGGUGUCGGCUUAAGUGCCAUAACGAGCGCAACCCUCAUCAUUAGUUACUAACAGGUAGUGCUGAGGACUCUAAUGAGACUGCCGGCGUAAGCUGUGAGGAAGGUGGGGAUGACGUCAAAUCAGCACGGCCCUUACGUCCGGGGCGACACACGUGUUACAAUGGGGGGGACAGCAGGCUGCGAAGUGGUGACACCGAGCGAAUCCUCAAACCCUCUCUCAGUUCGGAUCGAAGUCUGCAACCCGACUUCGUGAAGCUGGAUUCGCUAGUAAUCGCGCAUCAGCCAUGGCGCGGUGAAUACGUUCCCGGGCCUUGUACACACCGCCCGU